UACGUAGGGUGCGAGCGUUGUCCGGAAUUAUUGGGCGUAAAGAGCUCGUAGGCGGUUUGUUGCGUCGGCCGUGAAAACCUGCAGCUUAACUGUGGGCCUGCGGCCGAUACGGGCAGACUUGAGUUCGGUAGGGGAGACUGGAAUUCCUGGUGUAGCGGUGAAAUGCGCAGAUAUCAGGAGGAACACCGGUGGCGAAGGCGGGUCUCUGGGCCGAUACUGACGCUGAGACCCGAAAGCGUGGGGAGCGAACAGG
Molecule: ribosomal RNA, 253 nt
Filed under: uncultured bacterium
Lineage: Bacteria
Description: partial 16S ribosomal RNA
Rfam family: Bacterial small subunit ribosomal RNA
Source: RNAcentral